CUGAUCCGCAAGAUGAUGGAAUCUGGGGUUCCCAUAUGCCACACCUGUGGUGAGCAGGUGGGGCAAAAUGCUAAUGGUGAGCAGUUUGUGGCUUGCCAUGAGUGUAACUUCCCAAUGUGCAAGUCUUGUUUCGAGUACGAGAUCAAGGAGGGUCGGAAAGUAUGCCUGCGCUGUGGCUCCCCCUACAAUGAGAACUUGCU
Molecule: unclassified non-coding RNA, 200 nt
Filed under: Hevea brasiliensis (rubber tree)
Lineage: Eukaryota; Viridiplantae; Streptophyta; Magnoliopsida; Malpighiales; Euphorbiaceae
Source: RNAcentral